This 424-nucleotide ribosomal RNA is filed under the name uncultured prokaryote. Its description in RNAcentral is "bacterial SSU rRNA". It matches the Rfam family "Bacterial small subunit ribosomal RNA", at positions 355 to 796 of the family's 1533-position model. The record is from RNAcentral.
UGGGGAAUCUUGGACAAUGGGCGCAAGCCUGAUCCAGCCAUGCCGCGUGAGUGAUGAAGGCCCUAGGGUUGUAAAGCUCUUUCACCGGAGACGAUAAUGACGGUAUCCGGAGAAGAAGCCCCGGCUAACUUCGUGCCAGCAGCCGCGGUAAUACGAAGGGGGCUAGCGUUGUUCGGAAUUACUGGGCGUAAAGCGCACGUAGGCGGAGAUUUAAGUCAGGGGUGAAAUCCCGGGGCUCAACCCCGGAACUGCCUUUGAUACUGGAUGUCUUGAGUGUGGAAGAGGUGAGUGGAAUUCCGAGUGUAGAGGUGAAAUUCGUAGAUAUUCGGAGGAACACCAGUGGCGAAGGCGGCUCACUGGUCCACAACUGACGCUGAGGUGCGAAAGCGUGGGGAGCAAACAGGAUUAGAUACCCCCGUAGUCC